GAUGAACGCUGGCGGCGUGCCUAAUACAUGCAAGUCGAGCGAACAGACGAGGAGCUUGCUCCUCUGACGUUAGCGGCGGACGGGUGAGUAACACGUGGAUAACCUACCUAUAAGACUGGGAUAACUUCGGGAAACCGGAGCUAAUACCGGAUAAUAUAUUGAACCGCAUGGUUCAAUAGUGAAAGACGGUUUUGCUGUCACUUAUAGAUGGUUCCGCGCCGCAUUAGCUAGUUGGUAAGGUAACGGCUUACCAAGGCAACGAUGCGUAGCCGACCUGAGAGGGUGAUCGGCCACACUGGAACUGAGACACGGUCCAGACUCCUACGGGAGGCAGCAGUAGGGAAUCUUCCGCAAUGGGCGAAAGCCUGACGGAGCAACGCCGCGUGAGUGAUGAAGGUCUUCGGAUCGUAAAACUCUGUUAUUAGGGAAGAACAAAUGUGUAAGUAACUAUGCACGUCUUGACAGUACCUAAUCAGAAAGCCACGGCUAACUACGUG
Molecule: ribosomal RNA, 497 nt
Filed under: uncultured bacterium
Lineage: Bacteria
Description: partial 16S ribosomal RNA
Rfam family: Bacterial small subunit ribosomal RNA
Source: RNAcentral